GAUGAACGCUGGCGGCGUGCCUAAUACAUGCAAGUCGAGCGAACAGACGAGGAGCUUGCUCCUCUGACGUUAGCGGCGGGCGGGUGAGUAACACGUGGAUAACCUACCUAUAAGACUGGGAUAACUUCGGGAAACCGGAGCUAAUACCGGAUAAUAUAUUGAACCGCAUGGUUCAAUAGUGAAAGACGGUUUUGCUGUCACUUAUAGAUGGAUCCGCGCCGCAUUAGCUAGUUGGUAAGGUAACGGCUUACCAAGGCAACGAUGCGUAGCCGACCUGAGAGGGUGAUCGGCCACACUGGAACUGAGACACGGUCCAGACUCCUACGGGAGGCAGCAGUAGGGAAUCUUCCGCAAUGGGCGAAAGCCUGACGGAGCAACGCCGCGUGAGUGAUGAAGGUCUUCGUAUCGUAAAACUCUGUUAUUAGGGAAGAACAAAUGUGUAAGUAACUAUGCACGUCUUGACGGUACCUAAUCAGAAAGCCACGGCUAACUACGUG
This 497-nucleotide ribosomal RNA is filed under the name uncultured bacterium. RNAcentral's name for it is "partial 16S ribosomal RNA". It matches the Rfam family "Bacterial small subunit ribosomal RNA", at positions 28 to 507 of the family's 1533-position model. The record is from RNAcentral.